RNAcentral lists this non-coding RNA (21 nucleotides) under Arabidopsis thaliana (thale cress). Lineage: Eukaryota; Viridiplantae; Streptophyta; Magnoliopsida; Brassicales; Brassicaceae. The record is from RNAcentral.
UCGUUUUAGGUGAUUGAGUUU